RNAcentral lists this ribosomal RNA (115 nucleotides) under Erinaceus europaeus (western European hedgehog). Lineage: Eukaryota; Metazoa; Chordata; Mammalia; Eulipotyphla; Erinaceidae. The record is from RNAcentral.
AUUUACAGCCAUACCACCUGAACAUGCUCAGAUAUCUGAUCUCAGAAGCUAAGCAGGGUGGGGCCUGGUUAGUACUUGGAUGAGAGAACUCCAAUACAGUUGGGACCUGGAGAGG